RNAcentral lists this ribosomal RNA (451 nucleotides) under uncultured bacterium. Its description in RNAcentral is "partial 16S ribosomal RNA". It matches the Rfam family "Bacterial small subunit ribosomal RNA", at positions 29 to 523 of the family's 1533-position model. The record is from RNAcentral.
AGCGAACGCUGGCGGCAGGCUUAACACAUGCAAGUCGGGCGGGCAUCUUCGGGUGUCAGCGGCGGACGGGUGAGUAACGCGUGGGAACGUGCCUUCUGGUUCGGAAUAACUCAGGGAAACUUGAGCUAAUACCGGAUACGCCCUUUUGGGGAAAGGUUUACUGCCGGAAGAUCGGCCCGCGUCUGAUUAGCUAGUUGGUGGGGUAACGGCCUACCAAGGCGACGAUCAGUAGCUGGUCUGAGAGGAUGAUCAGCCACACUGGGACUGAGACACGGCCCAGACUCCUACGGGAGGCAGCAGCGGGGAAUAUUGGACAAUGGGGGCAACCCUGAUCCAGCCAUGCCGCGUGAGUGAUGAAGGCCUUAGGGUUGUAAAGCUCUUUUAUCCGGGACGAUAAUGACGGUACCGGAGGAAUAAGCCCCGGCUAACUUCGUGCCAGCCGCCGCCGUAA